This 449-nucleotide ribosomal RNA is filed under the name uncultured bacterium. RNAcentral's name for it is "SSU rRNA". It matches the Rfam family "Bacterial small subunit ribosomal RNA", at positions 26 to 518 of the family's 1533-position model. The record is from RNAcentral.
AGAGCGAACGCUGGCGGCAGGCUUAACACAUGCAAGUCGAGCGGGCGUAGCAAUACGUCAGCGGCAGACGGGUGAGUAACGCGUGGGAACGUACCUUUUGGUUCGGAACAACCCAGGGAAACUUGGGCUAAUACCGGAUAAGCCCUUACGGGGAAAGAUUUAUCGCCGAAAGAUCGGCCCGCGUCUGAUUAGCUAGUUGGUGGGGUAAUGGCCCACCAAGGCGACGAUCAGUAGCUGGUCUGAGAGGAUGAUCAGCCACAUUGGGACUGAGACACGGCCCAAACUCCUACGGGAGGCAGCAGUGGGGAAUAUUGGACAAUGGGCGCAAGCCUGAUCCAGCCAUGCCGCGUGAGUGAUGAAGGCCCUAGGGUUGUAAAGCUUCUUUUGUGCGGGAAGAUAAUGACGGUACCGCAAGAAUAACGCCCCGGCUAACUCGCGCCAGCAGCCGC